Long non-coding RNA from Helianthus annuus (common sunflower), 1195 nucleotides. RefSeq lists it as uncharacterized. The record is from RefSeq and is a predicted model, not a curated record. Lineage: Eukaryota; Viridiplantae; Streptophyta; Magnoliopsida; Asterales; Asteraceae. The transcript is spliced from 4 exons.
CUCUCUCUAAAACUCAUUUUGAAACCCUCCUCUUCUCUUUCUCUCUCUCAAAUUCCAUCAGCUCUAGAUCUAGAUGUAUCUGUCCCUUUCUCUCGAUCCAGCUUAAAUCAAAGAAGAAAAAAAUGCCAUGGAUUGAACUUAUAUCUGCAAAUCCUACAUCUCAGAAGUUAUCAGCCCACCACUACUACAAAUCUGGAGAACCACAUCGACCCACCAGAGAUUUAUGAGAGAAUUUCAAAAUUUCACUGCUCCGUCGAAGAUCUCCGGCCAGGUAAUCGAUGGUGAGUUGAAUCAGCUUCCUGUUGCUGUGUGUAGGGAUUGUUGGAGUCAGGAUCAUCUUCUUCUCUGAUAUUAAACCCUACACCAACUGUCUGGCGAUUCUUCUCCGUUAAGCCCUGGUAUACAAACCCUAAUAAUUCUUCUUAUCCAACGAGCGAUGAUUGAAGAAAUCGUUUCUGGAAGCAAAUCGAGAUUCGGAAUCAAUUAAAGCGAAAGCACUUUUAUCUUCCUGAAUGCAUGUUUCUACAAAGAUCAUCUUUCUAAAUGUGUGGAGAGCCAUGGAUUUGAAACCUAUGACAAAUUUAUCAAGGAAAAAGGAGGCAUGCUUCAGUGGACUGAUCUUCCGGCCUGAUUACUUUGCGUUCGGUGAUUCCGUGCCAGAAACAAUUGGGGAAAUGAAGAGGCUCAAGGAACUGGUUAUUGAUGCCAAGAACGAAAAUAUAGGAGUUGUACCUCUUUUCGUUAAUAAUAUGCUAGAAAGAAAUUUGUUCCUUUACAGGGCUGUUAAAUUGAAGGAAGGAUCUGUAGUAGUGCCGGCCCAAAGGUAAGUCAAGUAAAGCUUACGCUUUAGGCCCCCAGUUUGGAAGGGCCACAUUUUUUAAACUUAAUUAUGUUUAGACUGGGUUAAGUUUGGGCCUGUGAAUAGUCUUGUGAGGCCUGGGUUAAGUCCAUUCAGGAAUCAUUGUAACGUUCUCCUGGAUAAUCUAAAGGAUCUUCAGAAAUCGUUUCGAACAUAAAUUAGUUCUGAAAUAGUGCCAUAAAUAAUUCUGAAAGAAAAUCGAGUUAUGAAAAUUGAAUUUAUAAAACGAAAGGCAAGAUAUAUAGAUUUUGAACCAACACCAGAAAUGGUUUGUGGAAGCAAAUCGAGAUUCGGAAUCAAUUAAAGCGAAAGCACUUUUAUCUUCCUGAAUGCAUG